AUUGAACGCUGGCGGAAUGCUUUACACAUGCAAGUCGAACGGUAGAGGGGGCAACCCCUCGAGAGUGGCGAACGGGUGAGUAAUAUAUCGGAACGCGCCCAGUCGUGGGGGAUAACGUAGCGAAAGUUACGCUAGUACCGCAUACGAUCUAAGGAUGAAAGCGGGGGAUCGCAAGACCUCGCGCGAUUGGAGCGGCCGAUAUCAGAUUAGGUAGUUGGUGGGGUAAAGGCUCACCAAGCCAACGAUCUGUAGCUGGUCUGAGAGGACGACCAGCCACACUGGAACUGAGACACGGUCCAGACUCCUACGGGAGGCAGCAGUGGGGAAUUUUGGACAAUGGACGCAAGUCUGAUCCAGCCAUUCCGCGUGCAGGAUGAAGGCCCUCGGGUUGUAAACUGCUUUUGUACGGAACGAAAAGGUCUCUCUUAAUACGGGGGGCUCAUGACGGUACCGUAAGAAUAAGCACCGGCUAACUACGUGCCAGCCGCCGCGGUAA
RNAcentral lists this ribosomal RNA (496 nucleotides) under uncultured bacterium. RNAcentral describes it as "partial 16S ribosomal RNA". It matches the Rfam family "Bacterial small subunit ribosomal RNA", at positions 30 to 523 of the family's 1533-position model. The record is from RNAcentral.